This 553-nucleotide ribosomal RNA is filed under the name uncultured bacterium. Its description in RNAcentral is "partial 16S ribosomal RNA". It matches the Rfam family "Bacterial small subunit ribosomal RNA", at positions 355 to 902 of the family's 1533-position model. The record is from RNAcentral.
CUAAGAAUAUUCCGCAAUGGACGGAAGUCUGACGGAGCGACGCCGCGUGGAUGACGAAGGCCGAAAGGUUGUAAGGUUCUUUUGCUGGGGAAGAAUAACCGCAGGAGGGAAUGCCUGUGGGAUGACAAGAACCGGCGAAUAAGCCCCGGCCAACUACGUGCCAGCAGCCGCGGUAACACGUAGGGGGCGAGCGUUGUUCGGAAUUACUGGGCGUAAAGGGCAUGUAGGCGGCUUGGAAAGCCUGGCGUGAAAGUCUGCAGCUUAACUGCAGGGGUGCGCUGGGAACUGCUGAGCUUGAGUGACGGAGAGGGAGCUGGAAUUCCUGGUGUAGGGGUGAAAUCUGUAGAUAUCAGGAAGAACACCGAUGGCGAAGGCAAGCUCCUGGCCGAUGACUGACGCUGAGGUGCGAAAGUGUGGGGAUCAAAACAGGAUUAGAUACCCUGGUAGUCCACACAGUCAACGAUGUGCACUAGGUGCUGGGGCGGUAGCUUCGGUGCCGGAGCGAACGUGGUAAGUGCACCGCCUGGGGAGUAUGCUCGCAAGGGUGAAACUC